AGGGGUAUAGCUCAGUGGUAGAGUGCAUGCCUAGCACGCACAUGGUCCUGGGUGCAAUCCCCAGUACCUCCA
This 72-nucleotide transfer RNA is filed under the name Camelus bactrianus (Bactrian camel). It matches the Rfam family "tRNA". Rfam says of the family: Transfer RNA (tRNA) molecules are approximately 80 nucleotides in length. Their secondary structure includes four short double-helical elements and three loops (D, anti-codon, and T loops). RNAcentral also lists the same sequence under 2 other names. The record is from Rfam by way of RNAcentral. Lineage: Eukaryota; Metazoa; Chordata; Mammalia; Artiodactyla; Camelidae.